ACCUAGGACGGUUAACCUACGAAGAAUUAGCCAGACGUUUCCCGUGCGUUGCGAACGAGCGAGCGAAGCCUUUGCCCUCGAGCGACGCCACACCAGACCCUUCGCCCUCGCAGCCGCCGCCGAUCCCCUCCCUCAAACGCCGCCGCCCUUCGCUGCCGCCCCCGCCACCUCCCGUCGCGGGCAGGCGGGAGGAGCCCUGCCCGGCCAUGGCGACACCCGCCGGCGGCCUCCUCCUCCCCCUCACCUUCUCUCCCUCUCCCAAGGGAGGGAAGGGAAUGGAAGGGAUCUGAUUGGAGCGGUCGAUCUGCGCCCUUGCCGUCUCUUCUUUCCUUCACCGAUUCCAGGAGGAGAUCGAAGUGGAAGGUAGACGAGCAGGAGCGCCGCGUCCGCGACAGCGAUGAGCGACGACCCAGGUUCUCCUCUCCCAUGGCAGGGGUCGGCGAGUGGCAACAGAUGCGGGACACCAACUGGUGGCGCAACGGACAGCGAGAGGCAGGACACCAACUGGGCGCGCCUCUCGCGGCCGACUUCCACGGCGGCGACAUCGUUUACCUUGGCGCCUGAUUCUUUCCGACUCAGCGAUCCCCGCGGGCACCGAUGGACGGCGACGGGCAGCACGUGCGGCCGCGGAGCCGCGCGCUCCUGACCGACGACGAGGAUGACGGGGCGUACGCCAGCGACGUGUACAGCGGCAACCUCACCGCCACGGGCGGGUCUCGCGCUGGCCGGAUCUUGGGGCGGUAGCAGUACUUGGUGCCGCGCCGCCGUGGCGACUACGGCAGCGUCGGGGUCGUCGUCGUCCUCAUCCGCACAGGGUAGCUGGACUGGGAGGUUUGCUGCUUCCGGUCAGCAGACGAUGGCUAUGACGCUAUGCCCAGCACGAGUGCUAACGCCAUCACGGCCGGCACCACUGGCACCAGCAGCCGUUCGGUGUGCUCUCCGGGAUGCUGCAGUCGAAGGGUCGAGCAGGAGCUAUGGAUGCCAGCAAACAAGCCUGUGCAGACGGCAAUGCAUCAAUCAAAUUGGAUGGAGAACAUCACACAACAGGUAAACAUUCUUGUAUACUGAU
Molecule: non-coding RNA, 1069 nt
Organism: Triticum urartu
Lineage: Eukaryota; Viridiplantae; Streptophyta; Magnoliopsida; Poales; Poaceae
Source: RefSeq, a predicted model, not a curated record